Molecule: small RNA, 500 nt
Filed under: Malus domestica (apple)
Lineage: Eukaryota; Viridiplantae; Streptophyta; Magnoliopsida; Rosales; Rosaceae
Description: sRNA MD03G0125100
Source: RNAcentral
GAAGCGUAAUUUUCACCCAAAAAUCAGAAGUGAAACAGCAAAACAUCUCCAUCGCAAGCCCCAUCGCCAUUUUCCCUUUCGAGUUACGCCCAUUUUUCAUUUACUAAUUGGGAAGGGAAAGCGACCCAGAAAUUUUCUCUUCUGCCAGAGUAAAACCCAGAAGCCUUUUCGGGUUUUGUCAACUCUGAGCUCACAAAAACCCGAAACGCCAUUUGCGUGUUGGAGAAGAAAAAGCUUGUUGAGGUUUUACUGGGAGCAGAAAAAAUUGCUUUUGAAUUUUUGUGCGGCUGCAAGGAUUGUGAUCACCAGACAAGGAAGGCUGUGAGUUUUGAUUUUGUUGAAAUGUGGGUAUGAGCUUGAGGAAAUUUAUGUGUUUUUAUGACUACAAUGAAGUUCUGUUUGAUUCUAAGAGAUUGAAAGUACUGAAAAAUUAUAUUGACCUCAACAGGCUUAAGAUGGAGGCUAGAAAGAUCUACAUAUUUUUUUUGUUUUUCGGGUAA